This 1360-nucleotide long non-coding RNA is filed under the name Phascolarctos cinereus (koala). RNAcentral describes it as "lncRNA (ENSPCIG00000034949.1)". The record is from RNAcentral. Lineage: Eukaryota; Metazoa; Chordata; Mammalia; Diprotodontia; Phascolarctidae.
AGGUCUGUGCCCAGAGUACUGAUCCACUGGCAGGAGCCAGCUCUCUCCUCCAGCAAGGCUGGCCCUGAAGCAGCUUCCCCUGAUGGCAGUUCUCCCAAUUCAGCAGGAUUCAUUCUCCUGGAAGUCUGCCCUGAUACCCUGUGGUCCUCAUCCCUCCUCACGUUCCCCUGUAGCUCUCUAACUGGGGGGGGGGCCUUGGCCCAGUGCCAUCCCUUCAGCUGGGUAUUCAACGAGCAAUUGUUAGUCUCCAAUUGUAUACCAGGCCCUGUGCUAGGUGCCGGAGGUUCCAAACCAAGAAAAAACUGUCUCUGCCCUCCAGGAGCCCCUCCCCCUAUUUUUGUAAAGAAUUCCCAUCUUUAAAAAAAAAAAGAAUUCCCAUCUUUUGUUUUCACACCACCUUCAUUUUCGAAUAUAUCCACCCCUGCCAUCCCUUGUAACAAAGAGUUAAAAAGUAGAAAUUCAGCAGAAGUAGCCAAUGCACACUCCCAGUGGGAUGGCCUGUGCAUACCCCACACCUGUAGUCCCCCCUCUUUGGAGAAGGGGACAGGGCAUUUUAGUACAAGGAGAUACAGAGUAUUUGGGGAGGGGAAGGAUCAGAAGGUUCCCUCCGGUAGGAGGGGGAUCUUGAACUGAGCCUGGACCAGUCCCGUGUCCCCUCCUCCCUAUUCAACUAUCGGCCCCCUGAGGACCAGGCCUAGACUGUGUCAGCUCAGCGGCCCCAGGGCUUACCCGGCACAGAAUAGACACUUGUUUCAAUUCUUUGUGGCUGGGGGCAGCUAGGUAGCACAGAGAAUAGAGCACCGGCCCUGGAGUCAGGAAGACCUGAGUUCAAAUGAGGCCUCAGACACAUAACACUAGCCGUGUGACUCUGGGCAAGUCACUUAACUCCAAUUGCCUAGCCAAAAAACAAAAGAAAAACCAAUACAAAGACAAAAAUGAAGGUUCAAUGAUCAAUUCUUUGAGGUUCAGCUGUUUCAGAUGAGUCUGGCUCUCCAUGACCCAGACACUGAGGGCGUUUGCCGUUUCCCACUCCAGCUCAUUUUAUAGCUGAGGAAACCCAAGCAAACAGCAUUAAGUGACUUGCCCAGGGCCAUGCAGCUAGGAAGUGUCUGAGGUGGGACUUGAACUCAGGGAGAUGAGUCUUCGGGACUCCAAGCCCAGACCUCUACCCACUGUGGCACCACCUCACUGCUGUAUGUCUCUGUUCUACAAGCUUUUAUUAAGCACCUACUGAAUUCCAAGCCCUGGGGAUACAAAGACAAGAAAAGAAACAGUCUGACUGUCAAGAGUCAUACAGGUAAUCUUUUAAACUUAUUUUUCCAAUGGACAAGCAUUGGCUUUUCUUCCUUCCAUCCCUAAC